CCAAACUGUUGCCUCGGCGGGAUCUCUGCCCCGGGUGCGUCGCAGCCCCGGACCAAGGCGCCCGCCGGAGGACCAACCAAAACUCUUAUUGUAUACCCCCUCGCGGGUUUUUUUAUAAUCUGAGCCUUCUCGGCGCCUCUCGUAGGCGUUUCGAAAAUGAAUCAAAACUUUCAACAACGGAUCUCUUGGUUCUGGCAUCGAUGAAGAACGCAGCGAAAUGCGAUAAGUAAUGUGAAUUGCAGAAUUCAGUGAAUCAUCGAAUCUUUGAACGCACAUUGCGCCCGCCAGUAUUCUGGCGGGCAUGCCUGUCCGAGCGUCAUUUCAACCCUCGAACCCCUCCGGGGGGUCGGCGUUGGGGAUCGGCCCUGCCUUGGCGGUGGCCGUCUCCGAAAUACAGUGGCGGUCUCGCCGCAGCCUCUCCUGCGCAGUAGUUUGCACACUCGCAUCGGGAGCGCGGCGCGUCCACAGCCGUUAAACACCCAACUUCUGAAAUGUUGACCUCGGAUCAGGUAGGAAUACCCGCUGAACUUAAGCAUAUCA
This 540-nucleotide ribosomal RNA is filed under the name Trichoderma harzianum. Its description in RNAcentral is "eukaryotic LSU rRNA". The stretch from base 166 to 319 matches the Rfam family "5.8S ribosomal RNA". Lineage: Eukaryota; Fungi; Ascomycota; Sordariomycetes; Hypocreales; Hypocreaceae. The record is from RNAcentral.